This 336-nucleotide RNase P RNA is filed under the name pig gut metagenome. Its description in RNAcentral is "Bacterial RNase P class A". It matches the Rfam family "Bacterial RNase P class A". Rfam says of the family: Ribonuclease P (RNase P) is a ubiquitous endoribonuclease, found in archaea, bacteria and eukarya as well as chloroplasts and mitochondria. Its best characterised activity is the generation of mature 5'-ends of tRNAs by cleaving the 5'-leader elements of precursor-tRNAs. Cellular RNase Ps are ribonucleoproteins. The record is from RNAcentral.
AAACCAGACGAUUGCGUGCCCUUAAUAGGGUAUGAGGAAAGUCCGGGCUCCAUAGGGCAGGGAUGACGGAUAACGUCCGCCGUAGGUAACUAUAGGGAAAGUGCAACAGAAACAUUCCGCCGAAACGGGUAAUGCCGUGGUAAGGUUGAAAUAGUGAGGUAAGAGCUCACUGGCAUCAUGGAGACAUGGUGACCGUGUAAACCCCAUCCGGAGCAAGACUAAGUGGACAUUAAUGGGAGCGGCCCGUUCCCGUCCGAGGUGAGUCGCUUGAUGCUGCAAGCAAUUGCAGUACUAGAUGGAUAAUCGUCAAAUACAGAACCCGGCUUAUGGUUUGCC